This is a non-coding RNA of Pogona vitticeps (central bearded dragon), 130 nucleotides long. The record is from Ensembl. NCBI's taxonomy places the organism in Eukaryota, Metazoa, Chordata, Lepidosauria, Squamata, Agamidae.
CCUAGAGGACUAAGAAGGCAGAGCUUGUUGAGCAGGGCUCUUGCCGAUACGAUCCUCUUAGAGAAAACAGGAUGGAGAGAGGGGUCCAACUUCUAGAAGAGGAAAGACCUCACUGUGCCGUCCGACAACA